AGCAGCCGCGGUAAUUCCAGCUCCAAUAGCGUAUAUUAAAGUUGUUGCAGUUAAAAAGCUCGUAGUUGAAUUUCGGGGUCAGCAGGUUGGUCGUGCCAAUGGUAUGCACUGGCCUUGGUGAUUCCUCCCUCUUGUAGAACCGUAAUGCCAUUAAGUUGGUGUUGCGGGGAAACAGGACUGUUACUUUGAAAAAAUUAGAGUGUUUAAAGCAGGCUAACGCCUGAAUACAUUAGCAUGGAAUAAUGAAAUAGGACGAUCGAUCCUAUUUUGUUGGUUUCUAGGAUUGACGUAAUGAUUAAUAGGGAUAGUUGGGGGCAUUAGUAUUCAAUUGUCAGAGGUGAAAUUCUUGGAUUUAUUGAAGACUAACUACUGCGAAAGCAUUUGCCAAGGAUGUUUUCAUUAAUCAAGAACGAAAGUUAGGGGAUCGAAGACGAUCAGAUACCGUCGUAGUCUUAACCAUAAACUAUGCCGACUAGGGAUCGGAUGAUGUUAAUUUUUUAAUGUACUCAUUCGGCGCCUU
This 520-nucleotide ribosomal RNA is filed under the name uncultured Glomus. RNAcentral describes it as "SSU rRNA". It matches the Rfam family "Eukaryotic small subunit ribosomal RNA", at positions 569 to 1089 of the family's 1831-position model. The record is from RNAcentral. Lineage: Eukaryota; Fungi; Glomeromycota; Glomeromycetes; Glomerales; Glomeraceae.